This 407-nucleotide unclassified non-coding RNA is filed under the name uncultured Exophiala. Its description in RNAcentral is "sequence contains ITS2". The stretch from base 1 to 155 matches the Rfam family "5.8S ribosomal RNA". The record is from RNAcentral. Lineage: Eukaryota; Fungi; Ascomycota; Eurotiomycetes; Chaetothyriales; Herpotrichiellaceae.
AACUUUUAGCAAUGGAUCUCUUGGUUCUGGUAUCGAUGAAGAACGCAGCGAAAUGCGAUAAGUAAUGCGAAUUGCAGAAUUCCAGUGAGUCAUCGAAUCUUUGAACGCACAUUGCGCCCUUUGGCAUUCCGAAGGGCAUGCCUGUUCGAGCGUCAUUAUCACCCCUCAAGCUCUUCGGCUUGGUGUUGGACGGUUUGGUGAAUAUCUUUUACUUAUUUACCCCUCCCAAAGACAAUGACGGCGGCCUCGUUGGAUCCCCGGUACACUGAGUUCUUCACCGAACACGUACUGGAUCAAGGAUUCACGGGCAACGGUCUGCCUCCCCUCAGGGAGAACUUUUAUCUAAGGUUGACCUCGGAUCAGGUAGGGAUACCCGCUGAACUUAAGCAUAUCAAUAAGCGGAGGCU